RNAcentral lists this unclassified non-coding RNA (345 nucleotides) under soil metagenome. RNAcentral describes it as "partial contains 5.8S ribosomal RNA, internal transcribed spacer 2, and large subunit ribosomal RNA". The stretch from base 1 to 120 matches the Rfam family "5.8S ribosomal RNA", at positions 35 to 154 of the family's 154-position model. The record is from RNAcentral.
GAUGAAGAACGUAGCGAAAUGGGAUACGUAAUGUGAAUUGCAGAAUUCAGUGAAUCAUCGAGUCUUUGAACGCACAUUGCGCCCCCUGGUAUUCCGGGGGGCAUGCCUGUCCGAGCGUCAUUGCUGCCCUCAAGCACGGCUUGUGUGUUGGGCCUCCGUCCUCCUCCCGGGGGACGGGCCCGAAAGGCAGCGGCGGCACCGCGUCCGGUCCUCGAGCGUAUGGGGCUUCGUCACCCGCUCUUGUAGGCCCGGCCGGCGCUUGCCGACACAUCAAUCUUUUUUCCAGGUUGACCUCGGAUCAGGAAGGGAUACCCGCUGAACUUAAGCAUAUCAAUAAGCGGAGGA